This 556-nucleotide ribosomal RNA is filed under the name Saccharomyces cerevisiae (brewer's yeast). Its description in RNAcentral is "partial large subunit ribosomal RNA". The record is from RNAcentral. Lineage: Eukaryota; Fungi; Ascomycota; Saccharomycetes; Saccharomycetales; Saccharomycetaceae.
UAGCGGAGGAAAAGAAACCAACCGGGAUUGCCUUAGUAACGGCGAGUGAAGCGGCAAAAGCUCAAAUUUGAAAUCUGGUACCUUCGGUGCCCGAGUUGUAAUUUGGAGAGGGCAACUUUGGGGCCGUUCCUUGUCUAUGUUCCUUGGAACAGGACGUCAUAGAGGGUGAGAAUCCCGUGUGGCGAGGAGUGCGGUUYUUUGUAAAGUGCCUUCGAAGAGUCGAGUUGUUUGGGAAUGCAGCUCUAAGUGGGUGGUAAAUUCCAUCUAAAGCUAAAUAUUGGCGAGAGACCGAUAGCGAACAAGUACAGUGAUGGAAAGAUGAAAAGAACUUUGAAAAGAGAGUGAAAAAGUACGUGAAAUUGUUGAAAGGGAAGGGCAUUUGAUCAGACAUGGUGUUUUGUGCCCUCUGCUCCUUGUGGGUAGGGGAAUCUCGCAUUUCACUGGGCCAGCAUCAGUUUUGGUGGCAGGAUAAAUCCAUAGGAAUGUAGCUUGCCUCGGUAAGUAUUAUAGCCUGUGGGAAUACUGCCAGCUGGGACUGAGGACUGCGACGUAAGUC